UACGUAGGGAGCAAGCGUUAUCCGGAUUUACUGGGUGUAAAGGGCGAGUAGGCGGGCUGGCAAGUUGGGAGUGAAAUCCCGGGGCUUAACCCCGGAACUGCUUUCAAAACUGCUGGUCUUGAGUGAUGGAGAGGCAGGCGGAAUUCCGUGUGUAGCGGUGAAAUGCGUAGAUAUACGGAGGAACACCAGUGGCGAAGGCGGCCUGCUGGACAUUAACUGACGCUGAGGAGCGAAAGCGUGGGGAGCAAACAGG
RNAcentral lists this ribosomal RNA (253 nucleotides) under Intestinibacillus massiliensis. RNAcentral's name for it is "partial 16S ribosomal RNA". It matches the Rfam family "Bacterial small subunit ribosomal RNA", at positions 524 to 776 of the family's 1533-position model. Lineage: Bacteria; Bacillati; Bacillota; Clostridia; Eubacteriales; Butyricicoccaceae. RNAcentral also lists the same sequence under 1 other name. The record is from RNAcentral.